RNAcentral lists this ribosomal RNA (428 nucleotides) under uncultured bacterium. RNAcentral describes it as "partial 16S ribosomal RNA". It matches the Rfam family "Bacterial small subunit ribosomal RNA", at positions 354 to 796 of the family's 1533-position model. The record is from RNAcentral.
GUGGGGAAUAUUGCGCAAUGGGGGCAACCCUGACGCAGCAACGCCGCGUGAGUGAAGAAGGUUUUAGGAUUGUAAAGCUCUGUCUUUGGGGACGAAACAAAUGACGGUACCCAAGGAGGAAGCCCCGGCUAACUACGUGCCAGCAGCCGCGGUAAUACGUAGGGGGCAAGCGUUGUCCGGAAUUACUGGGCGUAAAGGGCACGCAGGCGGUCUAAUAAGUCAGAUGUGAAAGUUUACAGCUUAACUGUGAAAGUGCAUUUGAAACUUAUGUACUUGAGUCUCGGAGAGGUAAGCGGAAGUCCUAGUAUAGCGGUGAAAUGCGUAGAUAUUAGGAGGAACACCGGUGGCGAAGGCGGCUUACUGGACGAGUACUGACGCUCAUGUGCGAAAGCGUGAGGGACAAACAGGAUUAGAAACCCCUGUAGUCC